UGCUUACACAUGCAGUCGAACGAACCUUCGGGUUAGUGGCGGACGGGUGAGUAACGUAAUCUGCCCUCAGGAGGGGGACAACAGCUGGAAACGGCUGCUAAUACCCCAUAUGCCGCGAGGUGAAAUGAAUUUCGCCUGAGGAUGAGCUCGCGUCUGAUUAGCUAGUUGGUGUAGUGUAAUGGCUCACCAAGGCAUCGAUCAGUAGCUGGUCUGAGAGGAUGAUCAGCCACACUGGGACUGAGACACGGCCCAGACUCCUACGGGAGGCAGCAGUGGGGAAUUUUCCGCAAUGGGCGAAAGCCUGACGGAGCACGCCGCGUGAGGGAUGAAGGCCUCUGGGCUGUAAACCUCUUUUAUCACGGAAGAAGAUCUGACGGUACUUGAUGAAUAAGCCACGGCUAAUUCCGUGCCAGCAGCCGCGGUAAUACGGGAGUGGCAAGCGUUAUCCGGAAUUAUUGGGCGUAAAGCGUCCGCAAGGCGGCCUUCAAGUCUGACUGUUAAAAAAGGUGGAGCUUAACUCCAUCAUGGCACAGUGGAAACUGUUUGGGGCUUGAGUGUGGCAGGGGCACAGAGGGAAUUCCCGGGUU
RNAcentral lists this ribosomal RNA (587 nucleotides) under uncultured Synechococcus sp. Its description in RNAcentral is "bacterial SSU rRNA". It matches the Rfam family "Bacterial small subunit ribosomal RNA", at positions 45 to 676 of the family's 1533-position model. The record is from RNAcentral. Lineage: Bacteria; Bacillati; Cyanobacteriota; Cyanophyceae; Synechococcales; Synechococcaceae.